UACGUAGGGGGCGAGCGUUAUCCGAAUUUAUUGGGUGUAAAGCGUGUGUAGGUGGUUUAAUAAGUCUAAGGUUUAAUGCAGAAGCUUAACUUCUGUUCGCCUUAGAAACUGUUUUACUUGAAUGCGGUAGAGGCAAGUGGAAUUUCUAGUGUAGCGGUAAAAUGCCUAGAUAUUAGAAGGAACACCAGUGGCGAAGGCGACUUGCUGGGCCGUGAUUGACGCUGAGACACGAAAGCGGGGGGAGCAAAUA
This 250-nucleotide ribosomal RNA is filed under the name uncultured prokaryote. RNAcentral describes it as "partial 16S ribosomal RNA". It matches the Rfam family "Bacterial small subunit ribosomal RNA", at positions 524 to 774 of the family's 1533-position model. The record is from RNAcentral.